ACGCUCGACACCUACGGGGGGCAGCAGUGGGGAAUAUUGCACAAUGGGGGAAACCCUGAUGCAGCGAUGCCGCGUGAAGGAAGAAGUAUCUCGGUAUGUAAACUUCUAUCAGCAGGGAAGAAAAUGACGGUACCUGACUAAGAAGCCCCGGCUAACUACGUGUCAGCAGCCGCGGUAAUCUGAGCGGGCUGGCAAGGC
This 198-nucleotide ribosomal RNA is filed under the name uncultured bacterium. RNAcentral's name for it is "partial 16S ribosomal RNA". It matches the Rfam family "Bacterial small subunit ribosomal RNA", at positions 328 to 539 of the family's 1533-position model. The record is from RNAcentral.